This 81-nucleotide transfer RNA is filed under the name Treponema sp. RNAcentral's name for it is "tRNA-Ile". The stretch from base 2 to 71 matches the Rfam family "tRNA". Rfam says of the family: Transfer RNA (tRNA) molecules are approximately 80 nucleotides in length. Their secondary structure includes four short double-helical elements and three loops (D, anti-codon, and T loops). Further hydrogen bonds mediate the characteristic L-shaped molecular structure. tRNAs have two regions of fundamental functional importance: the anti-codon, which is responsible for specific mRNA codon recognition, and the 3' end, to which the tRNAs corresponding amino acid is attached (by aminoacyl-tRNA synthetases). tRNAs cope with the degeneracy of the genetic code in two manners: having more than one tRNA (with a specific anti-codon) for a particular amino acid; and 'wobble' base-pairing, i.e. permitting non-standard base-pairing at the 3rd anti-codon position. Lineage: Bacteria; Pseudomonadati; Spirochaetota; Spirochaetia; Treponematales; Treponemataceae. RNAcentral also lists the same sequence under 1 other name. The record is from RNAcentral.
CGGGCCAUUAGCUCAGUGGUUAGAGCAGAGGACUCAUAAUCCUUUGGUCCUUGGUUCAAGUCUAGAGACCAAUAGGUUUUA